RNAcentral lists this transfer RNA (76 nucleotides) under Candidatus Woesebacteria bacterium. RNAcentral describes it as "tRNA-OTHER". It matches the Rfam family "tRNA". Rfam says of the family: Transfer RNA (tRNA) molecules are approximately 80 nucleotides in length. Their secondary structure includes four short double-helical elements and three loops (D, anti-codon, and T loops). The record is from RNAcentral. Lineage: Bacteria; Candidatus Woeseibacteriota.
GGGAAGGUAGUUUAGUCGGUUAAAAUACAGGAUAAUAAUCCAAGAGCCGGUGGUUCGAAUCCACUCUUUCCCACCA